Halichondria panicea is the source of this 882-nucleotide long non-coding RNA. RefSeq lists it as uncharacterized. Lineage: Eukaryota; Metazoa; Porifera; Demospongiae; Suberitida; Halichondriidae. The transcript is spliced from 10 exons. The record is from RefSeq and is a predicted model, not a curated record.
CUUGGGGCAGGAGACGUCACCUGACUACAAAAAGAGAAUGAGACAGACAGAGCUCUGAGAAAAAAUCCUGCUGCUUGUCACGACAUGCACAAGAGGAGCUGCUGGUCCAAAAAGACAACUUGAAGAGGACUAUACACUAUUAGUCUACCUGUGAACAGAAAAAGGUUUGCACGUUGUUAUGGACUUUUGAAGCUGGAACACUGGCCAAUUUUACAAGGCUCCCAUCUGAAGUUUUUUCACUUUUGAUAAAGAGGUGUUGAAGAAUGCUCCCAGAUAAUGCUGCCGAGUUGAAGUCUGGGCUAAUUACACACUAGAUGUUGUCAGAAGAAUGAACUAAAGAUAAAGCAACAGUUUCCUGUUGCGAGAUAUCUUUGAGAUGAAAAAGAGCCCUUGUAAUGUGUACAGCACACUGUAAGCUGUUGACUGACUUCAUAGUACGCCGGUAAGAUUAUUCACAGUGGUGUGUUCUUUUAAUCUUCUAACUCUUCUUCAGAUGUUGCAAAAUUCAAGGUUUGUUUAUUGUUUUCAUCUUUAGCACUCGUUACACAUGUUAUUUAAUGAUUUCUUUAUUGGCAUGCCGAGUUGGAGUGUGGGUGUGUUAGAUUGAAGUUUUUAGACGAAUGAUAAAGAGAAUGCAACAAUUGCCUGCUGGCGAGCUAUCUCGGAGAUGAAGAACGGCCCUUCAAGCUGUCACUGACUUCAUAGUACGCCGAGUCUAUCUUUGUGCACAAAAACAAGACGAAUAUAAAUACAUGCCACCGUGGGGAUGUGAAGACACGGACAUGAUAAUGAGAGACAUAAUGUAGCUGAACAGAAAUUAAUAUAUAUAUAUAUCUUGUUCUUGUCUUCUUUGUCUUUGAAUUGUGACCUUUUGAAGCAUGA